CAUAACGUCGCAAGACCAAAGAGGGGGACCUUCGGGCCUCUUGCCAUCGGAUGUGCCCAGAUGGGAUUAGCUUGUUGGUGGGGUAACGGCUCACCAAGGCGACGAUCCCUAGCUGGUCUGAGAGGAUGACCAGCCACACUGGAACUGAGACACGGUCCAGACUCCUACGGGAGGCAGCAGUGGGGAAUAUUGCACAAUGGGCGCAAGCCUGAUGCAGCCAUGCCGCGUGUAUGAAGAAGGCCUUCGGGUUGUAAAGUACUUUCAGCGGGGAGGAAGGGAGUAAAGUUAAUACCUUUGCUCAUUGACGUUACCCGCAGAAGAAGCACCGGCUAACUCCGUGCCAGCAGCCGCGGUAAUACGGAGGGUGCAAGCGUUAAUCGGAAUUACUGGGCGUAAAGCGCACGCAGGCGGUUUGUUAAGUCAGAUGUGAAAUCCCCGGGCUCAACCUGGGAACUGCAUCUGAUACUGGCAAGCUUGAGUCUCGUAGAGGGGGGUAGAAUUCCAGGUGUAGCGGUGAAAU
Molecule: ribosomal RNA, 520 nt
Filed under: Shigella sonnei
Lineage: Bacteria; Pseudomonadati; Pseudomonadota; Gammaproteobacteria; Enterobacterales; Enterobacteriaceae
Description: bacterial SSU rRNA
Rfam family: Bacterial small subunit ribosomal RNA
Source: RNAcentral